Molecule: long non-coding RNA, 589 nt
Filed under: Capra hircus (goat)
Lineage: Eukaryota; Metazoa; Chordata; Mammalia; Artiodactyla; Bovidae
Description: lncRNA (ENSCHIG00010020604.1)
Source: RNAcentral
CAGAGGAUGAGAUGGUUAGAUGGCAUCACCGACUCAAAGGACAUGAGUUUGAGUAAACUCUGGAAGUUGAUGAUGGACAGGGAGGCUUGGCAGCACGACUGAGCCACUGAACUGAACUGAAGGGAAAACUACUUCUCUACUCACAACAUUCUGACCUCCAAAUGAGUGGAGUCUCCCCUCAAUAUUAGUUAGGCCAGCCAGCGGGCCUCCAGAUAACGUCACAAUGACUUGCCUCAAACUGUCUUCUGGAGACCACUGUGAGAUUUUCUUUGCAAUAUAAACAUUCCCAGGAGCAAUACUCUCCACUGACAGGUAUCUUGUAUUUUAUCUGGCAACCCUACCUCCAGUUAAACAAUUAAAUUCAAGAUGGUAUGGCCACUCUUCAGACUGGGGAAGAGGAUCAUGGAAUCAGCACAUGUCAGGAUUGGGAAAACUGCACACAGGCUUGGUUGGAAGUAAUGAAAUAUAUUUAAGAAGUCUGUACACAAAAAUUACAAUAAACAUUUAUUAAGAUGUAAUUUUCACAAUAUUUUAAUUCUGUUCUGAAAUUGGCCUACAAAUAUCUCUACGUAACACCAAAGCCAGUGAU